RNAcentral lists this ribosomal RNA (352 nucleotides) under uncultured Pseudomonas sp. RNAcentral describes it as "bacterial SSU rRNA". It matches the Rfam family "Bacterial small subunit ribosomal RNA", at positions 1031 to 1382 of the family's 1533-position model. Lineage: Bacteria; Pseudomonadati; Pseudomonadota; Gammaproteobacteria; Pseudomonadales; Pseudomonadaceae. The record is from RNAcentral.
GACACAGGUGCUGCAUGGCUGUCGUCAGCUCGUGUCGUGAGAUGUUGGGUUAAGUCCGUAACGAGCGCAACCCUUGUCCUUAGUUACCAGCACGUUAUGGUGGGCACUCUAAGGAGACUGCCGGUGACAAACCGGAGGAAGGUGGGGAGUGACGUCAAGUCAUCAUGGCCCUUACGGCCUGGGCUACACACGUGCUACAAUGGUCGGUACAAAGGGUUGCCAAGCCGCGAGGUGGAGCUAAUCCCAUAAAACCGAUCGUAGUCCGGAUCGCAGUCUGCAACUCGACUGCGUGAAGUCGGAAUCGCUAGUAAUCGUGAACCAGAAUGUCACGGUGAAUACGUUCCCGGGCCUU